AUUGAACGCUGGCGGCAUGCUUUACACAUGCAAGUCGAACGGCAGCGCGGGCUUCGGCCUGGCGGCGAGUGGCGAACGGGUGAGUAAUACAUCGGAACGUGCCCAGUAGUGGGGGAUAGCUCGGCGAAAGCCGGAUUAAUACCGCAUACGACCUGAGGGUGAAAGCGGGGGAUCUUCGGACCUCGCGCUAUUGGAGCGGCCGAUGGCAGAUUAGCUAGUUGGUGGGGUAAAGGCCUACCAAGGCGACGAUCUGUAGCUGGUCUGAGAGGACGACCAGCCACACUGGGACUGAGACACGGCCCAGACUCCUACGGGAGGCAGCAGUGGGGAAUUUUGAACAAUGGGCGAAAGCCUGAUCCAGCAAUGCCGCGUGUGUGAUGAAGGCCUUCGGGUUGUAAAGCACUUUUGGCGGGAACGAAAAGGACUGUGCCAAUACCACGGUUCGAUGACGGUACCCGCAGAAUAAGCACCGGCUAACUACGUG
RNAcentral lists this ribosomal RNA (484 nucleotides) under uncultured bacterium. Its description in RNAcentral is "partial 16S ribosomal RNA". It matches the Rfam family "Bacterial small subunit ribosomal RNA", at positions 29 to 507 of the family's 1533-position model. The record is from RNAcentral.